GAGUUUGAUCUUGGCUCAGGACGAACGCUGGCGGUAUGCCUAAUACAUGCAAGUCGAGCGCAGGAAGCAGACUGAAGCCUUCGGGUGGAUGUCUGUGGAAUGAGCGGCGGAUGGGUGAGUAUCACGUGGGUAACCUGCCUGUAAGCUUGGGAUAACUCCGGGAAACCGGUGCUAAUACCCGAUAAGAUUUCCGUUCGCAUGAACGGAAAAUGAAAGGCGGCUUUUGCUGUCACUUACAGAUGGACCCGCGUCGCAUUAGCUAGUUGGUGGGGUAAAGGCUCACCAAAGCAACGAUGCGUAGCCGACCUGAGAGGGUGAUCGGCCACACUGGGACUGAGACACGGCCCAGACUCCUACGGGAGGCAGCAGUAGGGAAUCUUCCGCAAUGGACGAAAGUCUGACGGAGCAAUACCGCGUGAGUGAUGAAGGUCUUCGGAUCGUAAAACUCUGUUGUUAAGGAAGAACAAGUGCUAAUCUAAUACAUUAGUGCCCUGACGGUACCUAACCAGAAAG
Molecule: ribosomal RNA, 513 nt
Filed under: uncultured microorganism
Description: bacterial SSU rRNA
Rfam family: Bacterial small subunit ribosomal RNA
Source: RNAcentral